This 920-nucleotide ribosomal RNA is filed under the name uncultured bacterium. Its description in RNAcentral is "bacterial SSU rRNA". It matches the Rfam family "Bacterial small subunit ribosomal RNA", at positions 33 to 944 of the family's 1533-position model. The record is from RNAcentral.
ACGCUGGCGGCAGGCUUAACACAUGCAAGUCGAACGGUAACAGGAGAAAGCUUGCUUUCUUGCUGACGAGUGGCGGACGGGUGAGUAAUGCUUGGGAAUCUGGCUUAUGGAGGGGGAUAACGACGGGAAACUGUCGCUAAUACCGCGUAGAGUCGAGAGACGAAAGUGCGGGACCGCAAGGCCGCAUGCCAUAGGAUGAGCCCAAGUGGGAUUAGGUAGUUGGUGGGGUAAUAGCCUACCAAGCCGACGAUCUCUAGCUGGUCUGAGAGGAUGACCAGCCACACCGGGACUGAGACACGGCCCGGACUCCUACGGGAGGCAGCAGUGGGGAAUAUUGCGCAAUGGGGGCAACCCUGACGCAGCCAUGCCGCGUGAAUGAAGAAGGCCUUCGGGUUGUAAAGUUCUUUCGGUAUUGAGGAAGGUUGUUGUGUUAAUAGCACGACAAAUUGACGUUAAAUACAGAAGAAGCACCGGCUAACUCCGUGCCAGCAGCCGCGGUAAUACGGAGGGUGCGAGCGUUAAUCGGAAUAACUGGGCGUAAAGGGCACGCAGGCGGACUUUUAAGUGAGGUGUGAAAUCCCCGGGCUCAACCUGGGAAUUGCAUUUCAGACUGGGAGUCUAGAGUACUUUAGGGAGGGGUAGAAUUCCACGUGUAGCGGUGAAAUGCGUAGAGAUGUGGAGGAAUACCGAAGGCGAAGGCAGCCCCUUGGGAAUGUACUGACGCUCAUGUGCGAAAGCGUGGGGAGCAAACAGGAUUAGAUACCCUGGUAGUCCACGCUGUAAACGCUGUCGAUUUGGGGAUUGGGCUUUAAGCUUGGUGCCCGAAGCUAACGUGAUAAAUCGACCGCCUGGGGAGUACGGCCGCAAGGUUAAAACUCAAAUGAAUUGACGGGGGCCCGCACAAGCGGUGGAGCAUGUGG